GCAUCGAUGAAGAACGCAGCAAAAUGCGAUACGUAAUGUGAAUCGCAGUUCUCGUGAAUCAUCAAAUCUUUGAACGCACCUUGCACUUCCAUUUAACCGGAAGUAUAUCUGUUCGAGUAUUAUUAUACUCUCAUUUACAACACUUGUUGUAUUUGGACUUGAGUGUUCUGUCUGGCCGCUUUCGCAGACUGUCACUUUAAAUGAAAGAGUUUGAGAGCGUCUAAAGACAUCUCUGUUCCCUUGACUUGUUCAAAAUGAGCCUUGGGAACGUAGUCUUGUGCUGUGCCGAAGCAAACUCUAGGACCGAGGGGCAUAAAGGCCUUGAGCCUUUCACCUUUAAUCUCGAAUCAGAUAAGAUUACCCGCUGAACUUAAGCAUAUCAAUAAGCGGAGGA
RNAcentral lists this ribosomal RNA (394 nucleotides) under uncultured fungus. RNAcentral's name for it is "eukaryotic LSU rRNA". The stretch from base 1 to 122 matches the Rfam family "5.8S ribosomal RNA", at positions 30 to 154 of the family's 154-position model. The record is from RNAcentral. Lineage: Eukaryota; Fungi.